GGGGGACAGGGUGACAGGUGGUGCAUGGUUGUCGUCAGCUCGUGUCGUGAGAUGUUGGGUUAAGUCCCGCAACGAGCGCAACCCUCGCCUCUAGUUGCCAGCAUUCGGUUGGGCACUCUAGAGGGACUGCCGGCGACAAGUCGGAGGAAGGUGGGGAUGACGUCAAAUCAUCAUGCCCCUUAUGACCUGGGCUACACACGUGCUACAAUGGGCGGUACAAAGGGCUGCGAACCCGCGAGGGGGAGCGAAUCCCAAAAAGCCGCUCUCAGUUCGGAUUGCAGGCUGCAACUCGCCUGCAUGAAGCCGGAAUCGCUAGUAAUCGCGGAUCAGCAUGCCGCGGUGAAUACGUUCCCGGGCCUU
Molecule: ribosomal RNA, 360 nt
Filed under: uncultured Geobacillus sp.
Lineage: Bacteria; Bacillati; Bacillota; Bacilli; Caryophanales; Anoxybacillaceae
Description: bacterial SSU rRNA
Rfam family: Bacterial small subunit ribosomal RNA
Source: RNAcentral